CAGGAGCUUGGGGGAGUAUGUGCCCCUGGAAAGCACUAGAGCCAUGCCAGCGUUCAGUGAGCUCUGUGAGGUGACAGGAAGCUCCCGAGGCCAGGCCUAGGGCUUCUGGUGCGUGGGCAGGGGAGCGGAGACAGCUUCCUCUUUUGAAAGGUUGGCAGGAGCGAAGUGGAGGCUGACGGAUGUAGGAGAAGAUCUCAUACAGGCUGGGGGGCAAGUGUGGGUGCCCUGAGGUGCCCAGGGAGGGAAGCGUAAGGCAGGGCAGACCCGGGAGGGCCACGAGUGCCAGGCGAGGAGCAUGGUGGCUUCCGGCCUGAGGGUGAUACGGCCAUGAGGGGUUUAAUGGGUGGGGCAGGGUCAGCUCAGGGGGCCCAGAUAUGGGGGGAGCCCAGCCUGGGAGCAUCUGGGGACACUUUCUGGAAGACGUGAGUACUACAGCACUAAGAGUUUGCUAGAAGGGCAGGAAUGAAGGGCCCUCUCAGUACAAAGGUGUGAAGACGGUGGUGAACUGUGCGGGGAAGGUGUGAAGACGGUGGUGAACUGUGUGGGGAAGGUGUGAAGACGGUGGUGAGCUGUGCGGGGAAGGUGUGAAGACGGUGGUGAACUGCGUGGGGAAGGUGUGAAGACGGUGGUGAACUGCGCGGGGAAGGGGUGAAGACGGUGGUGAGCUGCGUGGGGAAGGUGUGAAGACGGUGAACUGUGUGGGGAAGGUGUGAAGACGGUGGUGAACUGUGCGGGGAAGGUGUGAAGACAG
RNAcentral lists this long non-coding RNA (751 nucleotides) under Pan troglodytes (chimpanzee). Its description in RNAcentral is "long non-coding RNA NONPTRT008632". Lineage: Eukaryota; Metazoa; Chordata; Mammalia; Primates; Hominidae. The record is from RNAcentral.